This 468-nucleotide ribosomal RNA is filed under the name uncultured bacterium. Its description in RNAcentral is "partial 16S ribosomal RNA". It matches the Rfam family "Bacterial small subunit ribosomal RNA", at positions 28 to 507 of the family's 1533-position model. The record is from RNAcentral.
GACGAACGCUGGCGGCGUGCUUAACACAUGCAAGUCGAACGGAAAGGCCCUGCUUUUGUGGGGUGCUCGAGUGGCGAACGGGUGAGUAACACGUGAGUAACCUGCCCUUGACUUUGGGAUAACUUCAGGAAACUGGGGCUAAUACCGGAUAGGAGCUCCUGCUGCAUGGUGGGGGUUGGAAAGUUUCGGCGGUUGGGGAUGGACUCGCGGGUUAUCAGCUUGUUGGUGGGGUAGUGGCUUACCAAGGCUUUGACGGGUAGCCGGCCUGGGAGGGUGACCGGCCACAAUGGGACUGAGGUACGGCCCAGACUCCUACGGGAGGCAGCAGUGGGGAAUAUUGCACAAUGGGCGGAAGCCUGAUGCAGCAACGCCGCGUGCGGGAUGACGGCCUUCGGGUUGUAAACCGCUUUCGCCUGUGACGAAGCGUGAGUGACGGUAAUGGGUAAAGAAGCACCGGCUAACUACGUG